RNAcentral lists this unclassified non-coding RNA (841 nucleotides) under Hevea brasiliensis (rubber tree). Lineage: Eukaryota; Viridiplantae; Streptophyta; Magnoliopsida; Malpighiales; Euphorbiaceae. The record is from RNAcentral.
CGCAAAAUUUGAAGCUCAGUCUGGCAGAGAGGGUCGGAGAAAUGGGCCUCAGAAAUCUAAAACAAUGGAAGAGCUUCGCCAUAGAAGCACUGAAUCAGUCAUUUUUGGUCGCCAAAUUCCUCUGCUUCCUUCACGUCACCAACACCUAUCUCUGCACUGUUGCUCUAACCUAUGGCCCCAGUAUGCUUCCGACUCUUAACCUCACCGGUGAUCUCGUCCUCGCUGAGAAGAUCUCGCCCCGGAUUGGCAAGGUGGGUCCUGGCGAUGUCGUUCUUGUGCGGUCCCCUGUCAAUCCUAGAAGGGUAGUGACCAAACGCGUGAUUGGCAUAGAAGGUGAUAGUGUCACUUAUGUUGUUGACCCCAAAAACAGCGAUAGAAGCGAUACUAUUGUGGUUCCUAAGGGGCAUAUUUGGAUAGAGGGAGAUAACAUAUAUGAUUCGAAUGACUCAAGAAAGUUUGGGGCAGUUCCAUAUGGCCUUCUUCAGGCAAAAGUAUUUUGGAGGGUAUUGCCGCCGAAAGAUUUUGGACCUUUGGGACAAAGAGCGAAAUAAAUGAAUGACUAUGGUGAAUCAAUCUUUGAGAUCUUUGAACCAUGGUUUGGAUUGAAGACAUUGGGUAUGAAAGAUCACACUUGUUAGAAAGUUCUGCUUCUUUGCUUAUAUUAAAGAGAACCAAGUAGCAGGCGUAUCAUGGGACACAUCAAUGAAGGCUGGCAAUAAACUUUCAUUUUUCUCAUGCUGUUGUAUUUUAAGAGGAAUCUGGUCUGUAAGCCUUUGAAAUUGGCAGGGAUUUUCGGUCUUUGUAAAACUACAUUAAUAAGCACAGGCUUAAUUAGUCCAAC